GAUGAACGCUGGCGGCGUGCUUAACACAUGCAAGUCGAACGAAGCACCUUGAUUUGAUUCUUCGGAUGAAGAUCUUGGUGACUGAGUGGCGGACGGGUGAGUAACGCGUGGGUAACCUGCCUCAUACAGGGGGAUAACAGUUAGAAAUGACUGCUAAUACCGCAUAACGUCGCAAGACCAAAGUGGGGGACCUUCGGGCCUCAUGCCAUCAGAUGUGCCCAGAUGGGAUUAGCUAGUAGGUGGGGUAACGGCUCACCUAGGCGACGAUCCCUAGCUGGUCUGAGAGGAUGACCAGCCACACUGGAACUGAGACACGGUCCAG
This 322-nucleotide ribosomal RNA is filed under the name uncultured bacterium. RNAcentral's name for it is "bacterial SSU rRNA". It matches the Rfam family "Bacterial small subunit ribosomal RNA", at positions 28 to 334 of the family's 1533-position model. The record is from RNAcentral.